AUACGGGGGGUGCAAGCGUUAAUCGGAAUUACUGGGCGUAAAGCGCGCGUAGGCGGUUUGCUCAGUCGGAUGUGAAAGCCCAGGGCUCAACCUUGGAACUGCAUACGAUACUGGCAAACUAGAGUGUGAGAGAGGAUAGUGGAAUUUCCGGUGUAGCGGUGAAAUGCGUAGAUAUCGGAAGGAACAUCAGUGGCGAAGGCGACUGUCUGGCUCAACACUGACGCUGAGGUGCGAAAGCGUGGGUAGCAAACAGGAGUAGAAACCCUAGUAGUCC
Molecule: ribosomal RNA, 274 nt
Filed under: uncultured bacterium
Lineage: Bacteria
Description: partial 16S ribosomal RNA
Rfam family: Bacterial small subunit ribosomal RNA
Source: RNAcentral